CAUUGACGCUGCAGUAUUUCUUUUUUUAUUAAAAUGACUGCAGAUUUCAAUGAGGAAAUGGUUUAUGCAAACUAGCAUAAUGACAAGUCGUAGCUGCUAUUUAUGCUAUGGGAAAGUUCACUUUUAUGUGAUCGCUUCCUGCUAUUGCGAUAAAAAGAGACGCAGAAAGUAAGUCGCAGUCAAGGACGGAUGACAUAUCGAUCCCUCAUGGACAGAGUGAUCCGGGAAUAGUGGUCGAGGGUAGGAAGAAAGGGGACGUUUUUCCGCAUCCUGAUGGAGACACGGAGGCUGCACAGGGGUGGCAUUUGAAUUCCGCUCGCAGCUCGGCACUGGCAGCAGCAGGCUCCGGAAAUCAAUCACAGUUGACAGCGGAUGGCACAGCGGGGGUGUCAACGCAUUUGUUAAGGUUCGGCUGCCAGCCGGGCUCCCAUUCAUCUCCCAUAGCCCGGCAGUGAGAGACAGGCGGGAGCAGCGCAGCGAGCCGCCCUGAGGGGAGGCUGUACGAUCAGGACGAGCGGAACCAGCAAUUACAGAAGCCGAAGGAAUUCAUGAAGGGAGCUUCGGAAAAUGAAGAACCAAAUCUCCUCUCCUCUCUGUCUCCGGGAGGAGAUCAGUGCCAGCCUGCUGCCAGAACUCCAAACUGCUUUCAGGAAAGUGACUGUGCUGCAUUUACACAUUUUUGCAAAAACCAAUUAAGAUGUCGCAAAUGUGUAAAUCGGCAUUAAAGGCCUAGCAGUGGCACUAAUAAACCAUUGAGGGCUUCGCAUACUGUAUUUCUGUGGAAACUUUAAUUGCCAGUGGGAGACAAAAUCUUCAGUUCCUGUCAGUAAAAUUUUGUGUGGAAAGAA
Lepisosteus oculatus (spotted gar) is the source of this 848-nucleotide non-coding RNA. NCBI's taxonomy places the organism in Eukaryota, Metazoa, Chordata, Actinopteri, Semionotiformes, Lepisosteidae. The record is from RefSeq and is a predicted model, not a curated record.